Ipomoea nil (Japanese morning glory) is the source of this 92-nucleotide long non-coding RNA. RefSeq lists it as uncharacterized. Lineage: Eukaryota; Viridiplantae; Streptophyta; Magnoliopsida; Solanales; Convolvulaceae. The record is from RefSeq and is a predicted model, not a curated record. The transcript has 3 exons.
UGUGCUCAUAUUUUGAAUAUAAUUGUUCAAGAUGGAUUAAAAGUUAUGGGUGACAGAAUAGAAAGGGUGAGAGAUAUGGGGAAUUUGUGAUG